AAAUUGAAGAGUUUGAUCAUGGCUCAGAUUGAACGCUGGCGGCAGGCCUAACACAUGCAAGUCGAACGGUAACAGGAAGCAGCUUGCUGCUUUGCUGACGAGUGGCGGACGGGUGAGUAAUGUCUGGGAAACUGCCUGAUGGAGGGGGAUAACUACUGGAAACGGUGGCUAAUACCGCAUAACGUCGCAAGACCAAAGAGGGGGACCUUCGGGCCUCUUGCCAUCAGAUGUGCCCAGAUGGGAUUAGCUAGUUGGUGAGGUAACGGCUCACCAAGGCGACGAUCCCUAGCUGGUCUGAGAGGAUGACCAGCCACACUGGAACUGAGACACGGUCCAGACUCCUACGGGAGGCAGCAGUGGGGAAUAUUGCACAAUGGGCGCAAGCCUGAUGCAGCCAUGCCGCGUGUAUGAAGAAG
This 416-nucleotide ribosomal RNA is filed under the name Salmonella enterica. Its description in RNAcentral is "bacterial SSU rRNA". It matches the Rfam family "Bacterial small subunit ribosomal RNA", at positions 1 to 413 of the family's 1533-position model. RNAcentral also lists the same sequence under 1 other name. Lineage: Bacteria; Pseudomonadati; Pseudomonadota; Gammaproteobacteria; Enterobacterales; Enterobacteriaceae. The record is from RNAcentral.